AUUGAACGCUGGCGGCAGGCCUAACACAUGCAAGUCGAGCGGAUGAAGGGAGCUUGCUCCUGGAUUCAGCGGCGGACGGGUGAGUAAUGCCUAGGAAUCUGCCUGGUAGUGGGGGAUAACGUCCGGAAACGGGCGCUAAUACCGCCUACGUCCUGAGGGAGAAAGUGGGGGAUCUUCGGACCUCUUGCUAUCAGAUGAGCCUAGGUCGGUUUAGCUAGUUGGUGGGGUAAAGGCCUACCAAGGCGACGAUCCGCAACUGGUCUGAGAGGAUGAUCAGUCACACGAGAGCGGAGACACGGACCAGGCUCCUACGGGAGGCAGCAGUGGGGAAUGUUAGGCAGUAGGCGGAAGCCUUGUCCAACCGGGCGGCGUGUGAGGAAGAGGUCUUCCGAUUGUGAAGCACGUUAAGUUGGGGGAAAGGGCAGUAAGUUAAUACCUUGCUGUAUUGACGUUACCAACAGAAGAAGCACCGGCUAACUUCGUG
Molecule: ribosomal RNA, 484 nt
Filed under: uncultured bacterium
Lineage: Bacteria
Description: partial 16S ribosomal RNA
Rfam family: Bacterial small subunit ribosomal RNA
Source: RNAcentral